GUACACACCGCCCGUCGCUACUACCGAUUGAAUGAUUUAGUGAGGCCUCCGGACUGGCGUUCCUGGCGGCCUUGGUCGCCUCGAGCUGCCGGAAAGAUGUCCAAACUUGAUCAUUUAGAGGAAGUAAAAGUCGUAACAAGGUUUCCGUAGGUGAACCUGCAGAAGGAUCA
Molecule: ribosomal RNA, 170 nt
Filed under: Meganyctiphanes norvegica
Lineage: Eukaryota; Metazoa; Arthropoda; Malacostraca; Euphausiacea; Euphausiidae
Description: partial 18S ribosomal RNA
Rfam family: Eukaryotic small subunit ribosomal RNA
Source: RNAcentral